RNAcentral lists this long non-coding RNA (1859 nucleotides) under Homo sapiens (human). RNAcentral describes it as "HSALNT0395679". The record is from RNAcentral. Lineage: Eukaryota; Metazoa; Chordata; Mammalia; Primates; Hominidae.
CGAAGGGGGACCCCGCCCCAGCUGACACGGGAGCAGCCAUGGCCCAGACGAGUGGUAGGAAGGCCCGGCGUCAUCGCACAGGGCUUGGAAGAGAAGGAGGCCUUGGUGCUGUCUGGGAGCUCUCGAUCUGAUUAGGAAGUCAGGACCACCCCCCAGAGACAAGCAAACCCAGCAGCCGAGGCGGGGGCUGGAGAAGAUUUGGAGGUAGGGGAGCCCAGCAGAGGGGGUGGGGGCAGGACCCGCCUUGGAGAUCCUGCCCUCCAAAGUCAGUCAGUUGUCUGGGCUUUUUCUGAGAAAAGCACUCUGUGCUCUGAGACCUUGGCGAAGCCACUUCAUCACUGCGUGCCUCGGUUUCCCCAUCUGUUAAGUGGGGGCGAUCAGUCCUACCUCGGAGGAUUAAAUGAGAUACUGCAUAGAAAAAGCCUGCUCUGCACAGCAGCAGGUACACGCUAAGCACUCGGUAAGGUUGGCCGAUAAUAUUACAACGUUUUAAAUCGCCCUAGUGUUUCUAAUUCACAGUUUGCUGACGGCUUGGCUGAGGCUGAGCCGGGCAGGCUCUGCGUAUGUGAAAGUCGCCAGCGUCCAACCCCCGGAACCUGCCGGCUGGGAAGGAGAAAGCCGUCCGCUGCGACCGGGCAGCUCAGGGUUUGCAGAAAGGGCUCCGGCGCGCGUAAGUUCUGUCUACACGACCGCCAAAGCGUCCGGAACCCGGAUUCAGGAUUCAAGUUGCCAUCAGCUUCCAGAAGGAGCUUCGGGAUGGGGGGUCCUUGAAGGCAAUGGAGGGGCGGCGGGGCUCCGGGGGAGGCGGGGGUUCAGAGGGGGCUCCCUCCCCACCCCCGCCGGCGUCCUCCUCGCCCUGCCAGGCCAGGGCCAGCUGCAGGUCCAGCCCCUCCAAGUCCUCGCCGGUCAGGCUGGGGCGCAGCUCCCGGGGUGCGGCCUCCUGGUCUGGCUUCGGGCCAAACGCCCAGUCUGCGGCAAGGGAGCUGGUGAGGCAACUCCCCGGCCCCGGCCACCCUCCUCUGUCCCCUCCUCAGCUAGGAGAAGCACUAGGAUCCCCUGACCACCCACCCAGGGUGACCCAGCAUCGGCCCCAGCUGGGUUUCGGUGGGGGCAGCUCACCGGCCAGGUCGUGGGCGAGGUCUUUGAUGAGGUGCCCGACGAUGGCGUAGGCGACGGCCACCACCACCAGCGCGGCCAGCAGCAGGUCACAUUCAUGGGUACCAGGGGUUACCACCUGGACAAGCCUUUUCGGGGGACACGAUUUGACCCAAGUCCAGCUGUUUGAAGCUGCUAAGUUUGGAGUAAUCUGUUGCACAGCCACAAGGAUCUUAGGCAGGUUUCUCAACCUCUGCACUCAUUUGGGGCCGGAUCAUUCUCUGUUGUGGGGACCGAGUGCUGGAGGUUAUCUUCCAGCAUCCCUGGCCUCCCCCGACUACCUGACUAGAUGCCAGCUGCACACCCCCACCCCCCACCCCAUGACAAGCUAAACUGAUGCCCCGGGGCAGGAUCCAGCACUCCGGUGGAGAACAUGGCUCAGUGGAUAGUCGGUUCCCGUUGCGUUUUGCCUCCUGUCUUCUGGUUUUGGCCUCUCUGGCUGCAGACCAGGAGCUCUGCACCUGAGAUUCUACCGCUAUGCCUAUUUUACAGAGAGGAGCUGGGGGAAGACGGGGGUCCGGGAAGGGCCAGGCUGGAGGGCUGUUUCCCCAGAGCCCACUUGGAGGGAGCUGGCUGGGCAGAUCUGACCAGGUAACCGCACAUAAAACAGGUGCAGGCCUGCCUGUCGCUGGUGGUGGCUCAGUGUCAGCAGCAGGACAGAUCCUAGAGCCAAUGGCUGCGGAUACAACCGUCUCCCCGCCCAG